UUAUUCGCUGCAGAGAUUUCGGUCAAAGCUUGNNUAAAGUUAGUGGCGGACGGGUGAGUAACGCGUGGGCAACCUGCCUCAUACUGGGGGAUAACAGUUGGAAACGGCUGUUAAUACCGCAUAAGCGCACAGCAUCGCAUGAUGCAGUGUGAAAAACUCCGGUGGUAUGAGAUGGGCCCGCGUCAGAUUAGCUAGUUGGCGGGGUAACGGCCCACCAAGGCGACGAUCUGUAGCCGGACUGAGAGGUCGGACGGCCACAUUGGGACUGAGACACGGCCCAAACUCCUACGGGAGGCAGCAGUGGGGGAUAUUGCACAAUGGAGGAAACUCUGAUGCAGCGACGCCGCGUGAGUGAAGAAGUAUUUCGGUAUGUAAAGCUCUAUCAGCAGGGAAGGAAGGCUCGCAAGAGAGAUGACGGUACCUGACUAAGAAGCCCCGGCUAACUACGUGCCAGCAGCCGCGGUAAUACGUAGGGGGCAAGCGUUAUCCGGAUUUACUGGGUGUAAAGGGAGCGCAGACGGCCAUGCAAGUCUGAAGUGAAACCCCACGGCUCAACCGUGGGCUUGCUUUGGAAACUGUUUGGCUAGAGUACUGGAGAGGUAAGUGGAAUUCCUAGUGUAGCGGUGAAAUGCGUAGAUAUUAGGAGGAACAUCGGUGGCGAAGGCGGCUUACUGGACAGCAACUGACGUUG
This 691-nucleotide ribosomal RNA is filed under the name uncultured bacterium. Its description in RNAcentral is "bacterial SSU rRNA". It matches the Rfam family "Bacterial small subunit ribosomal RNA", at positions 62 to 748 of the family's 1533-position model. The record is from RNAcentral.